This 707-nucleotide ribosomal RNA is filed under the name Fusarium verticillioides. RNAcentral describes it as "SSU rRNA". It matches the Rfam family "Bacterial small subunit ribosomal RNA", at positions 361 to 948 of the family's 1533-position model. The record is from RNAcentral. Lineage: Eukaryota; Fungi; Ascomycota; Sordariomycetes; Hypocreales; Nectriaceae.
AUAUUGGUCAAUGGCCUAACGGCUGAACUGGCAACUUGGAGAAGUGGCAAGUCUUCCAGUAUGGGGAGCAAAACAGCUAUGGGUCAAGUCCGAUAUCUUUAGGAGAAGUCUUAUUGUGAGGGCGAGUUUUAUAACACCAUAGGACUGGCCGUCCCAUAUGAAAAGAUUAUAUUAGAAUUGAAUGAAGCUUUGUUUAUAUAUUGAUAAUGACAGUAUAUAUAUCGUGUCUUGACUAAUUGCGUGCCAGCAGUCGCGGUAAUACGUAAGAGACUAGUGUUAUUCAUCUUAAUUAGGUUUAAAGGGUACCCAGACGGUCAAUAUAGCUUAUAAAAUGUUAGUACUUGACUAGAGUUUUAUGUAAGAGGGCAGUACUUGAGGAGGAGAGAUGAAAUUUCGUGAUACCAAAGGGACUCUGUAAAGGCGAAGGCAGCCCUCUAUGUAAAAACUGACGUUGAAGGACGAAGGCACAGAGAACAAACAGGAUUAGAUACCCAAGUAGUCUUUGCAGUAAAUGAUGAAUGCCAUAGGUUAGAUGGGUGGGUUAGUCGUAGUUUGAGUUAGUUUAGCAAACUAAUGAUUCAGACUAGUCCACCAUAAAUUUGGUCUAUAAAUGAAAGUGUAAGCAUUUCACCUCAAGAGUAAUGUGGCAACGCAGGAACUGAAAUCACUAGACCGUUUCUGACACCAGUAGUGAAGUAUGUUAUUUA